This 117-nucleotide non-coding RNA is filed under the name Chlorocebus sabaeus (green monkey). The record is from Rfam by way of RNAcentral. Lineage: Eukaryota; Metazoa; Chordata; Mammalia; Primates; Cercopithecidae.
GCUGGGCAUGGUGGCUCAUGCCUGUAAUCCCAGCACUUUAGGAGGCUGAGGUGGGUGGAUCACUUGAGGUCAGGAGUUCAAGAUCAGCCUGGCCAACAUGGUGAAACCCCAUCUCUA